GACGAACGCUGGCGGCGUGCUUAACACAUGCAAGUCGAACGGGCCUGUCUUCUUUUUUGGGGGUGGGUUGAGUGGCGAACGGGUGAGUAUCACGUGAGUAACCUGCCCUUCGGUCCUGGAUAACCGCUUGAAAGGGCGGCUAAUACGGGGUGGUCCGGUUGGUCCGCAUGGGCUGGUCGGGAUAGAUUCACUGUUUUUGGUGUUUCGGCGGGGGAUGGGCUCGCGGCCUAUCAGCUUGUUGGUGGGGUGAUGGCCUACCAAGGCGGUGACGGGUAGCCGGCCUGGGAGGGUGGGCGGCCACACUGGGACUGGGAUACGGCCCAGACUCCUGCGGGAGGCAGCAGUGGGGGGUAUUGCACAAUGGGCGGAAGCCUGAUGCAGCGACGUCGCGUGAGGGAUGGAGGCCUUCGGGUUGUGAACCUCUGUUUCCGGUGGUGAAGGCCCUGUCCGUGUGGUGGGGUUGACGGUAGCCGGGGAUGAAGCGCCGGCUAACUACGUG
Molecule: ribosomal RNA, 499 nt
Filed under: uncultured bacterium
Lineage: Bacteria
Description: partial 16S ribosomal RNA
Rfam family: Bacterial small subunit ribosomal RNA
Source: RNAcentral